UAAAAUCUGAAUGAAAUAGGUUUUACAAAUUAUCAUUACCUGGUAUACAUUGGUAUAUUACAAUAAGAAGUUGUUGAAAUGUCUGAAGUGCAUAAAAUGUUUAUCUUAAUAGAAACAUUAUUUCAUAGCUUCUUAAAAAGCCAGAAAAAGGAGAUGACCUGGCCGGUGAAACGAAUAAGGAAAAAGGAGAAGAAGCUGAUAUUGAAGAAAGCAAAUGGGAAAAAUCACCUGGAUCUGGGAGUAUAAAAUCCAAGCCAUUGGAGGGCUCACCAAAAGAACUUAAGGAAAAGUCACAAAAUGAUAGUGAUAAAGAGCAAAUGGAUUUGGAGAGAAGAUUUCGAGAAAAAGACCUUGAAAGACAAAGAUAUCGGUUGGAUGAUGGCAGAAAGCAUAGAGCUCACUAUGAAUUUGACAAGUUUAUGAGAAGGAAUGAAGAAGAGCUGAAAUGGGGGAAAGGAUACAGCCAAGACAGAGGGAAGAAAGGGAACCACAACUACAGCUUCACUGUGGAGGCCGUAGACAAACUGGGUAAAGGUUCUCCCUGGCUGAGGGAAAAUCACCCCAUUGAGAAGUGCCAAAUCCAGGAAAAUAACCUGUUCAAAGACCAGCCACAAUUGGGCAGCUUCUUGAAUGGGAACUACAUGCAGAAAACGAUUUUCCUGUCUUCACCUUGAAACCUGUGGAUCCCCUUUCUGUGGGCUUGGGGCUUUGUGAUUUCGGAAGACGUGUCAUAGCGUUUCCAAGAGAUGUCUGCUAUUGGUGGCCUCAUCCUCUCCCCAUUCUAAUCAUGUAAGUUUUUCAUUCAAGAUGGUUGACACUGUCUUGUGUGGAAUCCCCCUCUGUAAUGUGCACCUCUUCUGAAGGGAGUUUUCAAACCAGGCACAGGCAAGGUCCCCAUGACAGUGUGCCCCCUGAGGGAGCUGUGCUUUUGCUAGAGAUAGGAC
This 944-nucleotide long non-coding RNA is filed under the name Gopherus agassizii (Agassiz's desert tortoise). RNAcentral describes it as "lncRNA (ENSGAGG00000001947.1)". Lineage: Eukaryota; Metazoa; Chordata; Testudines; Testudinidae. The record is from RNAcentral.